UUGGAGGGCAAGUCUGGUGCCAGCAGCCGCGGUAAUUCCAGCUCCAAUAGCGUAUAUUAAAGUUGUUGCAGUUAAAAAGCUCGUAGUUGAAUUUCGGGAUCAAUACGUCGGUCGUGCUUUUUUGGUACGCACUGGCGUCAUUGGUUUCUCCUUUCUGACGAACCAUGAUGUCAUUAAUUUGGUGUUAUGGGGAGUUAGGACUGUUACUUUGAAAAAAUUAGAGUGUUUAAAGCAGGCAUUAGCUUGAAUACAUUAGCAUGGAAUAAUGAAAUAGGACGUUCGAUCCUAUUUUGUUGGUUUCUAGGAUUGACGUAAUGAUUAAUAGGGAUAGUUGGGGGCAUUAGUAUUCAAUUGUCAGAGGUGAAAUUCUUGGAUUUAUUGAAGACUAACUACUGCGAAAGCAUUUGCCAAGGAUGUUUUCAUUAAUCAAGAACGAAAGUUAGAGGAUCGAAGACGAUCAGAUACCGUCGUAGUCUUAACCAUAAACUAUGCCGACUAGGGAUCGGAUGAUGUUAAUUUUUUAAUGACUCAUUCGGCGCCUUACGGGAAAC
This 551-nucleotide ribosomal RNA is filed under the name uncultured Glomeromycotina. RNAcentral's name for it is "SSU rRNA". It matches the Rfam family "Eukaryotic small subunit ribosomal RNA", at positions 548 to 1098 of the family's 1831-position model. The record is from RNAcentral. Lineage: Eukaryota; Fungi; Glomeromycota.